RNAcentral lists this transfer RNA (71 nucleotides) under Hypericum perforatum. RNAcentral describes it as "partial tRNA-Ser". The record is from RNAcentral. Lineage: Eukaryota; Viridiplantae; Streptophyta; Magnoliopsida; Malpighiales; Hypericaceae.
GGAGAGAUGGCUGAGUGGUUGAUAGCUCCGGUCUUGAAAAUCGGUAUAGUUCUUUGANNCGAACUAUCGAG